UGAGGAAUAUUGGGCAAUGCCCGAAAGGGUGACCCAGCAACGCCGCGUGGAGGAUGAAGGUCGUAAGAUUGUAAACUCCUGUUAGAGGGGAAGAAUAACUAAGUUUGGAGCUUAGUAUGACUGUACCCUCAGAGAAAGCCCCGGCUAACUACGUGCCAGCAGCCGCGGUAAUACGUAGGGGGCAAGCGUUGUCCGGAUUUACUGGGUGUAAAGGGCGCGCAGGCGGAAUGGAAAGUCAGUGGUGAAAUCCUACAGCUUAACUGUAGAACUGCCUUUGAUACUUUCAUUCUUGAGUUCGGAAGAGAGAGACGGAAUUCCAGGUGUAGUGGUGAAAUACGUAGAUAUCUGGAAGAACACCAGUUGCGAAGGCGGUCUCUUGGUCCGAUACUGACGCUGAGGCGCGAAAGCGUGGGGAGCAAACA
RNAcentral lists this ribosomal RNA (422 nucleotides) under uncultured bacterium. RNAcentral describes it as "bacterial SSU rRNA". It matches the Rfam family "Bacterial small subunit ribosomal RNA", at positions 355 to 774 of the family's 1533-position model. The record is from RNAcentral.